UUCCUCAAAUCAUUUUGUUGUGAUUACAAAAUUGAAUGUGUAAAACCUUUCACAGAGCCUUCCUUACCUGAAACAAUUUAGUAACAGCAUCUUGUUUUGUACCGAGUCUCGCUCCUGCUUUGACGGUUUGACCUCUUAUCAUGUAUCAUGAAAAGUGAGAUGGAAGAUUGGCUAUAAAACCGCAAUCACCGUCCUGCAGACCAUAACUUCCAAUGCACUCAGUAUUAGUGACUAAUUUCUGACCACCAAAACACAAGCAGAAAUCCUCGGUUGAUUGCACAAAAAAAUAAGAUCUAACAAAGAGAUUGUGAUGCCUCGGUUGAUUGCACAAAAAAAAUAAGAUCUAACAAAGAGAUUGUGAUGCCUCGGUUGAUUGCACAAAAAAAAUCUAACAAAGAGAUUGUGAUGCCUUCGUUAAGUUGACAAUUAGAUGAUAAAGAUUAAAAAAAAAAAUCUAACAAGGACAAGGAGAUUAUGAUAAUACAUCUAAUUGAACCUCUCUUAAAAAUAAUAAAAAAAAAGAACCAAAUAACCAAUUAUAAGCUACUUCGUUAAGUUGACAAAGAAAAAAGCUACUUCGUUAAACUCUGCUCAUAUAUAAACUAGAAAAAUCCGUACAUCGUUGAUACGCAUCCUUAAAGUGGAGUCAGUGAAGAAAGAGAUGAGACCGAUCCACCUCGAGGUCAAGAAUGAAAACAGUGCAAAAGACAGGAUCGCUUUGCAUGAACAACCAGCCUUGUUUGCAUAGCAACCACAAUCCCAACGUUUCUUGCUCGGUGAGAUUCUACCAUCGCAGUUAGAACGACUUUUCAUCCAACUUCGUCCUAACCAAAUGAUUAAUAGUUAGUAAUAUGGUAAUGGUAUAAAUUUAAAUGUUAAGAUUAUUUUAGAUUGUUGCUCUAUAGAUUAGAAAGUUGCAAUAUUUCACCAUUCAUUUAGUAAUGACACCAAAUAAAUGUUAUCCCUUAUAUCCAGAAGUUAAGGUCCUACUACACUUAUGUGGUAUGAUUUAAAAAAAAACUAACAAUAUGUGAUUUUGUUGUAUACCCUAUAAUCAGGGAUGUUAAUAAUGGGUUUUUACCCAUAGGGUACCCGAAGCCCGGUUGAUAUUUGAAACCCAAAACCCGUACUUUUAGAUUUUAAAACUCGCGGGUUUUUGUUGGGCGGGUCUUGUUUUGUUUAUUACCCUAUCGGGUUUACACUGUCGGGCUUCGGGUACCCGAUGGGUAUUUAAAAAAAAAAAAAUUAACAGAAACGACUUCGUUUUAUAUCAUAAUUUACCCUAAUUUUUUGUUUCUCCCGUGGCCACAGCCACAAAACAUUGAUCUAGAAAUUAGACACGCUUUCUUGGGACGAUUCAUUCUAGAUUGGGUUCAUUGGUAAGAUUUCGAAAUGGGGUUUUCUGUUUUGAUUCUGAUAACUUUAGAAUCUGGUUGACUAACCAUUGAUUCUAUCCUAAUUGGUUUAGGCCCCAACGAAAGGAGUCAAAGCGGUUACCAGAAGAAGGUCCGUACGUGAUUACCUUCCUCCUCGUUCUCUCCAUUGUGUCUCAGUGAGACAGUCUCACGCUUCUUAUUCUUUAGUCCUCUCUACGGCUCGUAAUCAUAUCUCCGGUGAGUUCUUUAGAUUUUUUUUUGGUGACUUGUGGUGACUGAAAUUGUUGUCUUUGUGUGUGUGUUUAUGGUUUACAGUGUAAACUUUGCACGUAGUAGAAGCUUUAAUUUCAUGGUUACCAAGUUUCUUACUUGUCAUGAAAAGUCUACAUGUGGCGAUUGAUAUUGUUGUCUUUGUCUUUUUUCACUGUUUGUGUGUUUAAAAAAUGAAAUAUUGUUAUCACUGCACAUUUAAAAUCAUUUCUAGUUUUUCUCCAAUCUCCCUCACCAGAUUAAAUAAUAGCUUAAAUUUUAUGAUUGUUUAAUGUUUUUUCAGGAUGGAUUCACAAACACUUGACACACUAGCAGCUCUUGAGGCUGCGAAUGAGCAAAUGGAGGUUGAUAAUGAUGAUGAAGCAGAAACUCAAGGACAAGCACAAAGUGAAACUCAACCUGUUCAAGCAACUGAAACUGUGAGUCAUUCUAAACGCGCGAAGUCUCUUGUUUGGAACCAUUUCGUAGUAGUAGGAGUAGAGGCAGAUGGAAAAAGAAGAAGUCGUUGCAUUCAUUGUGAUAAGAAGUUAGUAUCAGAAUCUGCCUCAGGAACAUCUUCUUUGAAACGACAUUUAGAAAUCUGUCCCAAAAAGCCUCCGUCAAGUGGUGAUCGUGAGUAUGAUCCGAAAGUAGAUCGUGAUAUGAUCAGUGAGAUCAUUAUUUUCCAUGAUCAGCCUUUCAAAUACGUUGAGUACGAGAAGGUUAGAGCUAGGGACAAGUACCUGAAUCCCAAAUGCCAGCAUAUAUCUAGGCAAACUGCUGGAGCUGAUGUCUAUAAGAGAUAUGAGGAAGAAAGAGAGAAGCUGAAGAAAGAGUUAUCAGAAUUUAAGGGUCGGGUAUCUUUUACCUCAGAUAUGUGGACAGCUUCUACUACUAUGACGGGAUAUAUCUGUCUGACAGCUCACUAUGUUGAUGAGAGCUUCAAGUUGAACAACAAGAUACUAGUCUUCUGUGAGUUGAAACCUCCACAUACUGGUGAAGAAGUGGCUAACAAACUUAUUAGUUGUUUGAAGGAGUGGGGAUUAGAGAAAAAGGUCUUCUCUAUGACCUUGGAUAAUGCUACUUAUAACGAUAGUAUGCAGAAGAUACUCAAGCAUCGACUUCAAAUGGCUAGCGGCAACGGGUUGUUGUGUGAUGGGAAGUUCUUCCACGUUAGAUGCUGUGCACACAUUUUGAAUCUCAUAGUGAAAGAAGGUUUAGAAAUUGCUGUUGGUCUUCUGGAAAAUAUCCGAGAGAGUGUUAAGUUUGUCAAAGCAUUCGGGUCAAGGAUAGAAGCAUUCGCAGCAUGUGUUCAGAGUGCAGGGAUUAGGAGUGGAGCUGGAUUGUCUCUAGAUGUACCAACCAGAUGGAAUUCAACUUAUGAUAUGCUUGCUAGAGCUCUGAAGUUUCGUGACGCAUUCACUAGUUUGAAAGAGUGUGACAGGAGCUACAAAUCACUGCCUUCAGAGGAUGAGUGGGAUCGAGGGCAGAAAAUUUGCGAGUUUCUGAAGCCUUUCAGCACUAUUACCACGUUCUUCUCAGGCGUUAGAUAUCCCACGGCUAAUGCAUAUUUUCUACAAGUGUGGAAAAUUGAACGCUUACUGAUGAAGUAUGCCAGUUGUGAUGAUCCAGUAAUGAAAGAGAUGGCUAAGAAAAUGAGAGUUAAGUUUUCUAAGUAUUGGGAUGAAUACAGUCUUGUUCUAGCUAUGGGAGCUGUUUUAGAUCCGAGAUUGAAGCUGCAAAUACUUAGAACAGCUUAUGACAAAGUGGAUCCUAGAAACGCUGAGAAAAAGGUUGAAGUUGUUAAGAAGAAUUUGAAAAAGCUUUAUGAAGAGUAUGGAGCUAAUUUUCGGAGUUCUUCUUCAACCUCUUCAGCAACACCGACUCCAUAUGAGCUUCUUACUGAGUCACCAUUAGAAGAUGAUCUGAAUUAUGUAAGUCUUUUGUAGCUUAUAAAUUCAUAUAUCAUAAUUGUUAUCUAUCUAAUGUGAUGCUUGUUUAAUACAAUAACGUAGGAUCUGUUUGAACUUGAGAGGAGCAUCCAGCCUGGUCUAGACAAUAAGAAGACAAAUCUGGAGAUGUAUUUAGAAGAUCCUAGGCUAGAUACGAGGUCUUUUACCGACAUAGAGGUUUUAGGUUAUUGGAAAGAUCAAGGACAGCGCUAUGGCGAUUUAGCUUCUCUUGCAUGUGAUUUGCUCAGCAUUCCAAUCACAACUGUGGCAUCGGAAUCAGCAUUUAGCGUUGGAGGACGGGUGAUUAGUCCUUACAGAAACCGUCUUCUUCCAAAAAAUGUUCAAGCACUACUUUGCACUCGAAACUGGUUAAGAGGUUUUGCUGAAUUUGAAGGUAGAUUAUUAGUUUUGAUAUUUGGUUUCUGAUUUAGUUUUAAAAAAAACUAACAAUAUGUGAUUUUGUUGUAUACCCUAUAAGGCUAUAAUCGUUUACCACCAGGGCCUCAUGUUAAGCCUACGCAGCCAAAUGGUGUGAAGUAUUAUGUGAAACGCAUCGAACCUCUUAGGUGGCUCGUUGAGCUCGAAACGUCUCCUCACGUACCGCAAAGUACGUUUAGUGUAAAUCGUUGAGAUUUGAACUGAGAAACUGGGUAUGUUCGUUUGCCACUAGGGGCUGCGAUUAGGUCAUCAUAUAUCCAUGCGGAUGGUUGUAACAUGUAAGGAUAAAACCUUAACGUAAUUCGUCCAAAAAAAAAAUCGUAACGUUUAAAAGGAUUUCACAUUUGGUUGUGAAAAUGGCCAAACCCAAACAAACAAAAACCUUAUCUCUGUGGCCUCAUCAGACAUCACAUGUGGGUGUCAUAAAACUGAUGUGGCUUGUGGGUCAAUGACUCCUUUCACAUCCCAACGUCUAUUUUCUUGUCACUAAAACCUACUAUAUUUGUUUUCUUGCUUCACUCUUUUUUGAUAAAUGAAAUGUAAGUACUCAACGCCUGACGUUAUAUUCAACACAUUAUCCGAUCAUCUAAUAUUUCGGUUGCUUUUAUCCUUCUUUCUUCUGAUAACCGUGGUGUGGGAUAUACAUUACAUUAUUCGAUUGUCUAAUAUUUCGGUUGCUUUUAUCUUUUAUUUUUUUUCUUCUAAUAACCGUAGUGUGAUACCAACAACCUUUUACGCCCAAUAACUAAUUACUACGAGAUCUUAUACCUGUGAAAUAAUUAAUUUCAUUUAAAAUGUGGCUAAGUGACCAGUGUGAAUCAAAC
This 4839-nucleotide long non-coding RNA is filed under the name Brassica rapa (field mustard). RNAcentral describes it as "long non-coding RNA (BRAP_LNC006290)". The record is from RNAcentral. Lineage: Eukaryota; Viridiplantae; Streptophyta; Magnoliopsida; Brassicales; Brassicaceae.